CCUGAUUUGAUGCUGUCUGUACCUGCUCCCUGCCCUCCCUGCUCACAUUAUCACCUAUGUGCUGUUCUCCUGACUCAGUGCACUACUAAGAAAGGGUCUUUGCUGUGGGAUGAUGAGAGGUUGUAUCCCUGCUGAGUUCAUACAUAUUGAAGUUCUGACCUCAAGCAUCACUGUGUUCAAGAUGGAGACCAUAAGAGGUGGUCAGAUAUAGAUGAGAUCAUCUUCGUCUCUGGAACACGAGCAAGAUCUUGUGUUGGGAUUAAGGAAAAUUAUUUCCUUUCAAGACUUGAUUUCAGCCUGCAGUGAAUUUUUAUGACCAAGGGGCUCAUUGAACAGCUGAAGGAGAUAACAAUGUAAUUUCACGAACAGUGACCAAAAGGAAAUGUAUGUAUCCCUAAAAGGGUGGAUAAGCUGACUCUUCACGCUGUCAGUAAAACUGCAUCUGGAUGCCAGAUUUUCACUGGAUUGAUCUCAUUACAUAACUCACUGCCUGCCACUGUAUUGUUACGACCUCUUUCAUGCAGCCGGACAACCUAUAUAUAGAUGUAACAGUAAAUACACACGCAGCCCAUGCUUAAACAAAAUGUUCCCUAUCAUCAUGCUUAUGAGGAUCAAUGUAUUGCCAGAUACAUUCUUCCUGAGUUGGUGUCAGCAGAGCACAGCACAUGUCAUCUCUCCUUCCUCCAGGGUCUCUUCUGAUACCCUCAUU
Long non-coding RNA from Peromyscus eremicus (cactus mouse), 709 nucleotides. RefSeq lists it as uncharacterized. The record is from RefSeq and is a predicted model, not a curated record. The transcript has 4 exons. NCBI's taxonomy places the organism in Eukaryota, Metazoa, Chordata, Mammalia, Rodentia, Cricetidae.